AUGCCCGCCGCCCCGCUCGGCCCCGCCGCGCCGCCUGCCCGCCCCGGCGCGGCCGCCCGGCCGAGGCGCUGGGCGCUGCGGGCCCGUUGAGGCGCCGCGUCCUCCGCCCGCCCGGAGGAGGGCUUUCCGGGGCGGGGAGCCGCCGGUGCCGCGCAGGGCGCGGGCAGCGCUGCGGCGAUGGCGGCCGCCUGGCCCUGGCUGCUGCUGUGGCUGGGGGCGGCCGCCCUGCGCGCCCGCCCGGCCCCGCCGCGCAUCCGCCUGCCGCUGCGGGGCGGCGCGGCCCUGCCGCCGGGGCCCCGGGCGCGCCGGGCGCCGGAGGAGGCCGAGAGGGCCGGGAGCUUCGUGGAGAUGAUCGACAACCUGCGGGGCAAGUCCGGGCAGGGCUACUACGUGGAGAUGACGGUGGGCAGCCCCCCGCAGAAGCUGAAUAUCCUAGUGGAUACAGGGAGCAGUAAUUUCGCUGUGGGAGCUGCACCUCACCCAUUCCUCCGGAGAUACUACCAGCGGCAGCUGUCCAGCACCUAUCGUGACCUGCGGAAGGGUGUGUAUGUGCCCUACACCCAGGGCAAGUGGGAAGGGGAACUGGGCACCGACCUUGUCACCAUCCCCCAUGGCCCCAACGUCACUGUCAGAGCCAACAUUGCUGCCAUCACGGAGUCGGACAAAUUCUUCAUCAACGGCUCCAACUGGGAAGGGAUCCUGGGGCUGGCGUAUGCCGAGAUCGCCCGGCCUGACGACAGCCUGGAGCCCUUCUUUGACUCCCUGGUGAAGCAGACACGGGUGCCCAACAUCUUCUCCCUCCAGCUUUGCGGGGCAGGCUUCUCGCCCAACGAGACAGAGGCCCUGGCAUCGGUGGGGGGCAGCAUGAUCAUUGGUGGCAUUGACCGCUCGCUGUAUGUGGGUGACAUCUGGUACACACCCAUCCGGAAGGAGUGGUACUACGAGGUCAUCAUCGUCAAGCUGGAGGUCAACGGUCAGGACCUGAACAUGGACUGCAAAGAGUACAACUACGACAAGAGUAUCGUGGAUAGCGGGACAACCAACCUCAGGCUGCCGAAGAAAGUGUUUGAGGCUGCAGUGAAAUCCAUCAAAACAGCUUCUUCAACGGAGAAGUUCCCAGAUGGCUUCUGGCUGGGGGAGCAGCUGGUUUGCUGGCAGGUCGGCACCACCCCCUGGCACAUCUUCCCAGUCCUGUCCCUCUACCUGAUGGGGGAGGCCACCAACCAGUCCUUCCGCAUCACCAUCCUGCCCCAGCAAUACCUGCGCCCAGUGGAGGACGUGGCCACCUCUCAGGACGACUGCUACAAGUUUGCCAUCUCCCAGUCCUCCACAGGCACCGUCAUGGGCGCUGUCAUCAUGGAGGGCUUCUACGUGGUCUUUGACCGCGCCCGCAAGCGCAUCGGCUUUGCUGUCAGUGCCUGCCACGUGCACGAUGAGUUUCGGAUGGCCGCAGUGGAGGGGCCCUACCUGCACUCCAACAUGGAGGACUGUGGCUACAACAUCCCGCAGACGGACGAGUCCACCCUGAUGACCAUCGCCUACGUCAUGGCAGCCAUCUGCGCCCUUUUCAUGCUGCCCCUCUGCCUCAUGGUGUUCCAGUGGCGCUGCUUCCACUGCCUGCGGCGGGACCAUGACGACUUUGCUGAUGACAUAUCCUUGCUGAAGUGAUGGCGGAGCAUGGGGGCAGCCCCGGGGCCGCAGGUGAGGCAGCAGGGCAGGGAGAGGUAGGUCCUUUCUCCAGGGCUGGAGCACGGAGGCAGGGCAGCAGCGUGGGGAGCUCAGACCCUCAGCCCGGGCCCUCCUGGCCCUGGGGGACUUGGUGCCCGUCAGGGCCAGCAGGUCGGGAGCAGCCAUGGGAGCCCCAGGCCUGGGCUGUGUUUGUCUGGGACCUGCAGAAAGAGCGGGGCAGGCGGAGAGGGGGGAGAGCGUGCAGCAACCCCGUCCCGUGGGCUGGGGCAGCUUCCCUGCUCCGGCACCAGUAUGGGCUGGGCUGUCCCCAGCUCUCCUGCCCAGCCGUGCCAGGCUUGACAGAACCGUGCUGAUGAGCCGUCGCACCGCCUGUCUCCCAUCACCCUCCAUCCCUGCGCAGCCGCCCCCAGCCCACGCUGCCAUGAAGCCGCUGGCCCCCGCUGUUGUGUAGGGAGCUGUGGGUGCACGCACCUGCGGCACAGCUCCCUGUGCGGCAUGCCUGAUCCUGCCAGGCUCCAGGGUUCCCAUCUCCGGAGCCUCCCGUCCCCAGCUUUUCAGAGACAGCCACGCAGGGCCGGCCUGGGGCUGCCUGGACGGGAGCAGCCAGAGGCAGGGGUUUCCCUCCCACCCUCCUGCUCACCCAUACGCCGCUUGCUCUUGCAUUUCGCGUUGCGUUCCCCCUGCCACCCCCAGGCUCUGCUUCCGCUGCUGCCAGCCCCUGGACUCCCUCUGCCCACCCCACUCUCCCGGCUGCCUCCUGGGACAGGCAUGAGCAGGCACCCAUCCUCUCCCUGCGCCGCUUUCGCUCACCACGUCCCCUUUGGGGAUGGGAAACUGCCUCUCCUUUCCAGCGGCAGCCAUGGAGAAGUUGGCGGCUGCUGCCCUCCCACCCCAGGGAAAACAGCCUCCCAGCUCGGGGCUGCAGGCGUGGGGAAGGGGGACGUGCACUACAAGCACCCCCCAGCCUGCUACACAGAAAUCGUGUGCCAGGAGAGAGCGAGUUACCCAACCCCGGCCGCUCCCCAGCCCACCCGCCCGUUCAAAAGCCAUAGGGGAGCCAGCGCCGGGCUCAGCCGGCCCCCCCCCCGCAGCCCCCGCCCUGCCUCACCGCUGGCGAGUCCCCCGGCACGGGGCACAGCAGCUCCGCUUGCUCCGCAAGUCCAUGUGUCCGGCCCCAGCUCCUGCUCUCCAUGCGUGAGACAUCCCGGCAGCCUGGGGACAGGCAGUGGCUGUGGGGACUUGCAGCAUUUAUUAUUUUUUAAACACAUGGUUGUAUUUAUUAUUUUUUUUUAUAUAUAAUGUGAGUCACUAGUAGUGCAGCUGUGCAGAAUCAGAGCGUGUAUAUAGCAGGUCCCACACCGCACACAGGUGUACGAAUAACGGUCGCUUCUCACCUGUACAAUAUAUACAUAUAUCUAUAUUUUUAAUUCCAGCGCUCAAAGUCACUGUUCCAAAACCCAACAUUAGGGGGUUUGGUCCUGUUUUGGUUUUUUUAAAUAUUUUUAGCCCCUCUGCUCAGUCCUAGGGCCUUGGCCACAACCCAAGGCCAGGGCUCGCUCAGUAGCGGCGUGCUCGGGUGGAAGCACUUUAUGGAUCAGAGGUGGUCCAAGUCGGUUUCAGAGGAGGUGGUGACAGUGAUGGAGGGACGCAGGAGGGCAGGGCUGGAGCACGCAGAACAGUGGUUCACAAGCCGAAAGGACAUUGGGCGCAGGAGGCACUUCUGUCCUCACCGUGUUCCUACAGCAAAGGUAUAUAUAUACCUUCACGGUAUGUAAGGACAAUGCUCCCCUUCUCCCCACAGCAAUCCCUGCCCCGGGGAGAGGGGGCCGCUGCAAGCUCACCAUCACCCUUCCCCAGGGCAGAUGCCCUUGAUCUUGCGGGCAGUUGAUAAUGCUGUAUUUCUUGCUUCUCUGCCUGCAACUCAGAUGGGAAGGUGCUUUGUUUUAAACGCCAAGAUUCACUGAUUAAAAGGCAACAUUCCUCCACGAGCAAAGGACAGGGCUACCUGCGGUGCCCAGGCCGAGCUGGCAGCUGCCCAGCCAAGGCACACGCAAGAGCCGAGCCACCAGUUCAGCAAGGGAGCCAGUGCACGGGCGGGAGGAGGAGACACACGCAGUGUAGGAGAGGCAAGCCAGCCCUAGCACUGGGCACCGCCACAACAGCCCGUUACGCGCACCCCUAAACUGUCCCACGUCACUGCUGGUGCGCUCACGAGCAGCGCCCAGUUCCCAUGCCCCGCUGCAGAACUGCAAGCAUCCAGCGACCCCACUCCGGCGCGCGAGGAGAACGUUACACAACCACAGAGCGCGCACAGACCUCCGCACCCUUGUGCCUGCCCAGGACCCUCCCAGGAUCCCAGAGACUGUUGUGGACCACUGCCUUAAAACACGCUGGCAAGUGUGUGUGUGCGUGCGUGUAGAAAGAUUGGGGCUGUGGCCAAAUUCAGGCGUGCUGCAUGCAGGCAGCGCUUGCACUGACCGACCCGGAGGUGCAGGUGCCUCUAGCAGGGCUGAAUUUGCACCACAGGCUGCAAACAAGGGGAAAAGAAAUUCUACAGAGUCAGCGCAAGAUUUGAAGUGGUGCUGAGCACCUCGUAAUCCCACCGAAAUCCAUGGAGAAAGGUGUUGGUGCGUCAGCCUGUGCUUUAGGAGAAAGUACAGGAGAGGGGAUAGGAGGAACUGCAACAGGUUGGUUAUCCCGAGCUGCAGCGCAGCCGCAUCCGUUUGCUCCCAAGCGCUUCCCUCCCCAGGGCCCAGGUACCGCAGGGAACGCCGGGUGGAGGCGCAUGGUGGGGACAGUUACCGCAGGCUGUCGCUGUAGACUCCAGUACUCUGUAACCUAUUGUCUAUGUAAGAACAAUGAAUGUUAACACACGGUAAAUUAUUAUUACAUUAAAAAACCACAAAAAACAC
This is an RNA transcript of Falco peregrinus (peregrine falcon), 4601 nucleotides long. It is a transcript of the gene named beta-secretase 1, with no coding region annotated. NCBI's taxonomy places the organism in Eukaryota, Metazoa, Chordata, Aves, Falconiformes, Falconidae. The record is from RefSeq and is a predicted model, not a curated record. The transcript is spliced from 10 exons.